Molecule: long non-coding RNA, 1327 nt
Filed under: Anser cygnoides (Swan goose)
Lineage: Eukaryota; Metazoa; Chordata; Aves; Anseriformes; Anatidae
Description: lncRNA (ENSACDG00005007203.1)
Source: RNAcentral
GCUGUGUGUGUGGUAUGUGAUAAGCUGAAACCAUACCGAGCCGGGCGGUUUAACUGCUUUACCAGCCAGAUGCAGGGGGUAAAAGGAUGUGGAGCCAGGCGCUAUAUAUACAUAUAUAUGUGUACACACACACACGGCCCUGCUGCCCGUAGGGACCCGGCCUAGGUGGGCCGUGGCGCAGCUCGCGAGCCGGGUGCUUCCUGCGCUGCGGGUGGCGCUUCCUGAGGGGAGCCGGCAGGGCGAGCGGGGCCCGGCCUCGCUGCCGCGGGGUGCUGGCCGUGGGCUCCGUGCCUGGGUCUUCCCAUAUUGUCCCAGGCUGGGGGCGCCAGGCUCGGCCUGCCUGCGAGACGAUGGUGCUUUCUGCGGUGAUCUCCGAAUUGUGUCAGACGCCGGCAGUAGCACGGCAGCUACAGGUAUCUGCGCUGUGCAAAUCGUCACGGCACGCCAUGCGUGGGGUGAAAACAGAGGGCAAAAGGGCUCUCUGUGUUCCUGGCCAAAAGCCACCGCAACAGACGCACGUUAGUGUCCUUCUUCCCUCCCCCUCUUUAGAAGGGGAAUACGUUGCAAAGGCCGGAAUAGACUUUCAAGGCUUUCUCUGCACGCUGCUGGUUUGAGCUCUCGGGUUGCGCCCUGGUUGUCUUCCGGCUUUUCCCAGGAGCAGGAUGUUUAAGGAAAACGCAGUUGUCUCGCAGCUGUUCAGGAGGUGAGAGCUGAAGGAGAGCCCCCUGCUGCCGUGGGGCGCAGGCAGAACUCGUGGGACGUGGCUGUGCAGGCGCCGGCACAGGGUCAGAGUCCACCGCCUGCUGCGGCGCUGGGGGAGCGCUGCCGCGCGGUAACUGCAUGCUGAAUGGUGGCUUCUGUGCCUGCUCGGCUUCCUCCUUCCACCCCCUUCAGACACAUCUGUCCUGAGCGUAACCUGCUGUUGCUGGCUGCUCUGCCAAGCCAAACCUACAGGGUGGCGGCAGUGUCCCUGGCUGGGUUUAGGGACUGCUCGGGGACAGGGCUCUGCUGCUGCCCUCCAGGUGCAUUUUUUUUUUUUGAGGAAGAGAAAUGUUUCCCACCCAUUCUUACAACCCCAGGAGCUGGGGGUUUAGGACACAGAAUAUUCCCAGGGCAUGCUGUGAAUCCUGGCCUGUGAAUCAAGUAUUUGUGGGUGGGAGGCUCUGCCCAUGCACCCCUGCAGAGGUGUGAAUAUUUGGAGAGAAAGCCUGUGCCCGAUGGACACCAAAGGCCUAUCUGUGCAGAAGGUGCGUUUGAGAACAAACCCCUUGCUGGAUAGCUUAUGGAAGCUGCUGCUGCUCCUAGAGCCACCAGCAGAAAAAGAGAU